GGCCUAACACAUGCAAGUCGAGCGCUCCGCAAGGAGAGCGGCGGACGGGUGAGUAACGCGUGGGAACGUACCCUCUUCUACGGAAUAGCCUCGGGAAACUGGGGGUAAUACCGUAUACGCCCUUUGGGGGAAAGAUUUAUCGGAGGAGGAUCGGCCCGCGUUGGAUUAGGUAGUUGGUGGGGUAAUGGCCUACCAAGCCGACGAUCCAUAGCUGGUUUGAGAGGAUGAUCAGCCACACUGGGACUGAGACACGGCCCAGACUCCUACGGGAGGCAGCAGUGGGGAAUCUUAGACAAUGGGCGCAAGCCUGAUCUAGCCAUGCCGCGUGAGCGAUGAAGGCCUUAGGGUUGUAAAGCUC
This 358-nucleotide ribosomal RNA is filed under the name uncultured organism. RNAcentral describes it as "bacterial SSU rRNA". It matches the Rfam family "Bacterial small subunit ribosomal RNA", at positions 45 to 433 of the family's 1533-position model. The record is from RNAcentral.